Molecule: long non-coding RNA, 798 nt
Filed under: Equus caballus (horse)
Lineage: Eukaryota; Metazoa; Chordata; Mammalia; Perissodactyla; Equidae
Description: lncRNA (ENSECAG00000059143.1)
Source: RNAcentral
AACAGGAGACUGAGCCCUGGAACGUGAAGAUUUUGCCCAACAUCACACAGCUUGAAAAUGACGAUGAAACUCAAGCAUCCGCCUCCAGAGACUGUGCGAUGACUCUCGACUAUCCAUAGCCCUUCGAGGAGCUCGAUCACUUGUGGGCACACAGCAGGGACCUAAUCAAGAGACACUAGCCCUAACCUUUCUGUGAGGGCAAACCCUCUCCUCAGUGCCCCUGCACACAUCUUCCCACAUCUAAGUCUUUGCGAAGAAGGGGCUCCCUGCCUGAAAUACCUUUCCUGUUUCUCUCCUCACCACAAUACCCUCCAUGUUUAUCAAGGCCAAAGGGAAGAUCUGCCUCCUCCAGGAAGCCAACAGGGAUCACACCGGGACAAACGGGUUAAUCUGAAACUCCAAAUAUUCUAUCUGUAGUGAAAGGAGCCAGCACAUCCAAAUUAUCAGUCCAGGUGAUUUACCUGAAGCUCAACUCCAACCCCAGGCUCCAAGAAUGAGAUACCACCAAACCUGGGCCAACUACCGGACCUCAGGAUGUUUGUUAAACCUAUGUUGGGAAAUAGACACAAUUUUUAUUCUGGGGAGGACAAGCUGGUAGGGUGUAGACCCUGGAGAUGCCUGUGCCCAUCUUUUCCCUUACUGAGGAGAGACUGGUUAAGAAUCAAGAAUAAAACAAAAGGAGACAUAUGCCCAAUGGCAUUAUUUGAACUCAUUGAUCCAGCCAUAUCUGAAUCAGUUAAGUGUUCCAAUACAUGUAUUCUUGUCUCCUGAAGCCAUUUUGAGUUGAGUUUCUACCAC